CCUACGGGGUGCAGCAGUAGGGAAUAUUGCUCAAUGGGGGAAACCCUGAAGCAGCAACGCCGCGUGGAGGAUGAAGGUUUUCGGAUUGUAAACUCCUUUUGUCAGAGAAGAUAAUGACGGUUUCUAACGAAUAAGCACCGGCUAACUCCGUGCCAGCAGCCGCGGUAAUACGGAGGGUGCACGCGUUACUCGGAAUCACUGGGCGUAAAGGGCGCGUUGGCGGGAUAGCAAGGCAGAUGGGAAAACCUCGGGGUUAACCAUAGAACUGCAUUUGAAAAUGUUGUUCUAGAGUAUGGGAGAGGUAGGUGGAAUGCGUGGUGUAGGGGUAAAAUGCGUAGAGAUCAAGAGGAAUACUCAUUGCGAAGGCGACCUGCUAGAACAUAACUGACGCUGAUGCACGAAAGCGUGGGGAGCGAACAGGAUUAGAUACCCCUGUAGUC
RNAcentral lists this ribosomal RNA (440 nucleotides) under uncultured bacterium. Its description in RNAcentral is "partial 16S ribosomal RNA". It matches the Rfam family "Bacterial small subunit ribosomal RNA", at positions 338 to 795 of the family's 1533-position model. The record is from RNAcentral.